This is a microRNA precursor of Bison bison bison, 61 nucleotides long. The record is from Ensembl. NCBI's taxonomy places the organism in Eukaryota, Metazoa, Chordata, Mammalia, Artiodactyla, Bovidae.
ACAGAGGAGCUUUUGACAUGAACUGAUCUUUACAUUCAAGUUCAUGUCUGAGCUAAUCAGA